UGGCUGAGGACGAUUCCCUGAGCCUUGACAAAGCAGGAGCCCUCCGUGGCGGUGCGUCGGUGUCGAGGCUCCAGUCUGACUAAUCCAGGGGGUCGACAAAACAGAUUCGGGACACUAUGCUACACGGAGGGCCUACCAGGAUGCAGAAACAGCAGACGGAGUCCAGGGAAAGCAGUGCGGCAUCCCAGCCUCAGGCCUGCCCGUACGGUGUUCGGACGGAAUGAAGUUGAUAAUAGUGAGACCUUGUUGGUACAAGACUAUGUAACAUAACCUGCGCUUCUCAACAAAGAAUUGCUUUUCUGACUUCUGCACUCAACUACUCAACAUGAAGGCAAUAAGAAUGAAGACCUCUAUGUAUAAUAAUUGACUUCCACUUAAUAAAUACCUGAACAGAUGUUGAGUACAAGCUGAUCCACCUACGUUCAACCUGAGAGAGUCCACAUCCACAGACUGUUUCAUUUCCCUUUUUCAAUUUACAUAGAAGCAUAGAUUCUUGCUGGCAUAUACAAAUGCGCCAUUUAAGGCAAUCAAAAAUGGUUCCACAUCUCAUCUGAUUUCCACAAUUGUUGCUGUAACGAUGGACUACUGAGGAGAGAGACAAUUUCUCUGGCACAUCUUCCCACAUUUUAGCAACAUGUUCAUGGAGAGCCAAUAUUCAGUAAUUACAGCCCAAUUCCUCACAAUUUCACAAUUCGCUAACAAUAUGCAUUUUCACAAUGUAAAGCUGAUUUUCCUUUAACCAAAUCAAACAUGAAAAGAUAGCUGCAUGCAAUGGGCAAUCUAGAUCAUUAGAAGAUUGAUGUAAAAUUAGAGGACACUGAGACUGGAAUAGAUUGCAAACUUCAGGGAGCUCAGAAAACUUGUAAACUCUACAUUUUGAGGAAAUAUGUUGUCGAUGCUUUUGCAACUCUAUGCAGUAACUUAACAAAUAAAGCCUUAAAGUAACU
This 947-nucleotide long non-coding RNA is filed under the name Homo sapiens (human). RNAcentral describes it as "MIR663A host gene". The record is from RNAcentral. Lineage: Eukaryota; Metazoa; Chordata; Mammalia; Primates; Hominidae.